GACGAACGCUGGCGGCGUGCCUAAUACAUGCAAGUCGGACGCACAGUCUAUACCGUAGCUUGCUACACCAUAGGCUGUGAGUUGCGAACGGGUGAGUAACGCGUAGGUAACCUGCCUAUUAGAGGGGGAUAACUAUUGGAAACGAUAGCUAAUACCGCAUAACAGUAUGUAACACAUGUUAGAUGCUUGAAAGAUGCAAUUGCAUCGCUAGUAGAUGGACCUGCGUUGUAUUAGCUAGUAGGUAGGGUAAUGGCCUACCUAGGCGACGAUACAUAGCCGACCGGAGAGGGUGGUCGGCCACACUGGGAGUGAGACACGGCCCAGACUCCUACGGGAGGCAGCAGUAGGGAAUCUUGGGGAAUGGGGGGAACCCUGACCGAGCAACGCCGCGUGAGUGAAGAAGGUUUUCGGAUCGUAAAGCUCUGUUGUUAAGGAAGAACGAGUGUGAGAAUGGAAAGUUCAUACUGUGACGGUACUUAACCAGAAAGGGACGGCUAACUACGUG
Molecule: ribosomal RNA, 505 nt
Filed under: uncultured bacterium
Lineage: Bacteria
Description: partial 16S ribosomal RNA
Rfam family: Bacterial small subunit ribosomal RNA
Source: RNAcentral